AAGUGACCUAAUCCUAUUAAAGAAUCAAAGCAUUUCAAACCCUUAAAGUUCAAAAAUAUCAAGAACCCUGAGGCAGGUAUGCGUAGUGUUCAUCUAUGGAUCCCUUUCAUUCAUAGAGGUCAAUAACCAUGAUUUUAAAUGAGAAACUUUGAUUCAAUUGUUGUUAUGUGAUGUUUUAAAUGUUAAUAAUCACUGUCUAAGCUUCAAGAUAUUAAUUUAAG
RNAcentral lists this long non-coding RNA (221 nucleotides) under Capsicum annuum. Its description in RNAcentral is "long non-coding RNA (CANN_LNC010183)". The record is from RNAcentral. Lineage: Eukaryota; Viridiplantae; Streptophyta; Magnoliopsida; Solanales; Solanaceae.